This 1571-nucleotide long non-coding RNA is filed under the name Olea europaea (common olive). RNAcentral describes it as "long non-coding RNA (OEUR_LNC000601)". Lineage: Eukaryota; Viridiplantae; Streptophyta; Magnoliopsida; Lamiales; Oleaceae. The record is from RNAcentral.
GAACACACACAACACACCAAGAAGAGGAGAGCAGGGAAAAAAGGAAGAGAAAAGAGGGAAAAAAGGAAAGGAAGGAAAAAAAGAAAAAGUAAAGGGAAGUUCACCUAUAUUGUUAGAAAAUAAGUGCUUCCUACUAGUAAGCUCGAAUUGUUCAAUUGAAAGGUAAGUAAAAAUUUACUUAUUAUGUAGUUAUGGUUAAUUUUAUAGUUUUUAAAUUGUUAGUUUAAAUUCAAUUUUAUCGAAAGGGAACUAUUGAAUUAAGUAGAAUGAGCUACAUAAUUAAGUUAGAUGAAAGAAAAAUUAGCUUAAAUGAUUAAAGGAACUUUAGAAAUCGCUUAAACGUGAAAUGAUUAAGCUUGGGUAUCGCUUAUUUAAAUAGAUUUGGGUUGGAUCUAGUUUCAUGUUUGAUUGGGUUUUAGUGUUGAUUUUAUGAUCUUUUAAUUUGAUGGGUUUUAGAGAUUGAAUUUGCAGCAUGGAUAUGAUUUGGAGUUUUACUGACUUCAAUUUCAUUUAUUAGUUUUUAGUUUUAAUCUCAAAUAUUUUUUAGGGGAAUUAGGGUUUGAGUUUCACUUCAAUUGAUUUGCAUAGAUACGCUGGAAAUAAUGAUUAUUUGUGAAGUGGUGAUUAUUUUAGAGAUUGUUGAUUUUAAUUUGUUUUAAAAUUUUCAUCUUCGACCUGAGAUUUUGGGAAUAAUAAGAAUUUACUACUCAUUGAAGUAAAAAGUAAUUAAUGCAUUUUGGGUUAAAAUGUUAAAAGUUCUUUAUAUGGAGGCGAAAAUUUUAAAAAUAGUGGUUUGCUUCCCAAAUGACAAUGUAAAGUGAUUUGUUUGUGCUGCUUAAAUAUUCCAUGAUCCCUAAUAAAAGUUCAUUUAUUUUCUGUUAUCGGGUAUCAGAAUCUAUAUUUUAUUUAUUUUCCUUGAAAGAGUUCCAUUUAUUUUUUAUCUUGUCAAACUAUACUUUUUUUUUAACAUUUAUAUUUCCAUAAUCAAGGACUAUGAUGCACCUUAACUCUAAGAUGUGUCUGGGUUUGUGCUUAUGCUGUGGGGGACGUAUUGAAGACAACAGAAACAAUGUAGAUGCUUAGGAUUUUAUAAUAAUUAAUAUAACUUUCUUUGAAUCAUUUUCUAACUAUUUCAUUCUUUGGGAUAGCUGAUUUUCUCCUAGCUGCGAUUUGGGUUAUCAAACUUUACUAAAGGUACUUUUUUCCCGAAAAGAAAAAAAAUUUGAUUUUCUUUCUUGUUUUUGUAAGAAAAUAAUCUACAUUGGCACAGAUUUUGUAAUCAAUUAUCCUUUAUUGAGUUGAAAAAGGGAAGAAUCUAAAAGAAAUCUUGUUAUCAAAACUGCUUUUGGCAGAGAAUUGAAGAAAAUGGUUUCUUCUUGUGACUUUCAGAACAAAAGAUUCGAAAGGAAAAUGGCCCCAGAAUUCUUCAAGAGAGAAGCGAAUUUAUUUAUUGUGGCGGGAAGAUUUUGUUUCAAUGCAACUGAUCAAGUUCUUCAUUUGCAAAAUGUAAUGGAAAUUAGAAGUCCACAUAAUGAGAUUGGUGGAAGAAUUUCAUUGGUUGGUAUGGGUGG